GACGAACGCUGGCGGCGUGCUUAACACAUGCAAGUCGAACGGAAAGGCCCUGCUUUUGUUGGGUUCUCGAUUGGCGAACGGGUGAGUAACACGUGAGUAACCUGCCCUUGACUUUGGGAUAACUUCAGGAAACUGGGGCUAAUACCGGAUAGGAGCUCCUGCUGCAUGGUGUUGGUUGGAAAGUUUCGGCGGUUGGGGAUGGACUCGCGGCUUAUCAGCUUGUUGGUGUGGUAGUGGCUUACCAAGGCUUUGACGGGUAGCCGGCCUGAGAGGGUGACCGGCCACAUUGGGACUGAGAGACGGCGCAGACUCCUACGGGAGGCAGCAGUGGGGAAUAUUGCACAAUGGGCGGAAGCCUGAUGCAGCAACGCCGCGUGCGGGAUGACGGCCUUCGGGUUGUAAACCGCUUUCGACUGUGACGAAGCGUGAGUGACGGUAAUGGGUAAAGAAGCACCGGCUAACUACGUG
RNAcentral lists this ribosomal RNA (468 nucleotides) under uncultured bacterium. Its description in RNAcentral is "partial 16S ribosomal RNA". It matches the Rfam family "Bacterial small subunit ribosomal RNA", at positions 28 to 507 of the family's 1533-position model. The record is from RNAcentral.